RNAcentral lists this ribosomal RNA (316 nucleotides) under uncultured bacterium. Its description in RNAcentral is "bacterial SSU rRNA". It matches the Rfam family "Bacterial small subunit ribosomal RNA", at positions 18 to 344 of the family's 1533-position model. The record is from RNAcentral.
CAUGGCUCAGGAUGAAUGCUGGCGGCGUGCCUAACACAUGCAAGUCGAGCGGCAGCGAGGGGUGCUUGCACCCUGUCGGCGAGCGGCGAACGGCUGAGUAACGCGUAGGAAUUUGCCCCAAAGUGAGGAAUAACUGCCCGAAAGGGUAGCUAAUGCCGCAUAUGGUCUUCGGAUUAAAGGAUUUAUCCGCUUUGGGAGAAGCCUGCGUUGGAUUAGGUAGUUGGUAGGGUAAUGGCCUACCAAGCCGACGAUCCAUAGCUGGUCUGAGAGGAUGAUCAGCCAGACUGGAACUGAGACACGGUCCAGACUCCUACGG